This 253-nucleotide ribosomal RNA is filed under the name uncultured bacterium. RNAcentral's name for it is "partial 16S ribosomal RNA". It matches the Rfam family "Bacterial small subunit ribosomal RNA", at positions 524 to 776 of the family's 1533-position model. The record is from RNAcentral.
UACGUAGGCAGCAAGCGUUGUUCGGAAUUACUGGGCGUAAAGAGUGUGUAGGCGGUGCUCUAAGUUCGUUGUGAAAUCUCCCGGCUUAACUGGGAGGGUGCGGCGGAAACUGGAGUGCUUGAGCGCGGGAGAGGAAAGCGGAAUUCCUGGUGUAGCGGUGAAAUGCGUAGAUAUCAGGAGGAACACCUGUGGUGUAGACAGCUUUCUGGACCGUAGCUGACGCUGAGACACGAAAGCGUGGGUAGCAAACAGG